AUGGAACUCACAUUUAUAAUGCUAGAGACUGCUGAGAAAUUUGAGAGGGCAUUUGAGGAAUAUGCACUUCAGGAUCCCAACUACAAGACUGAGUUAGAAAAAACUGGUCCAGAAUCUAAGCCUGAUACUCCUGAUCAGCAAGGUCCACCAACUCAAAGUGAUUGGGUGUAUGUUCGUGAGUUCAAACAAUUCCUCCAACACUUCUAUCUCCUCACUAAUAAGGUUUCUGGCACUAAGUAUGUUACAGCCAACACCUUCUUGGAAGAUAUUGCUGAUGUACAUUUUAUGUUGAGUGAAUGGAGUGAUCAUGUGAUCUGUGGUGAUGAUGAAAUAUUUAAAUGCAUGGCUACCAAGAUGAAAACCAAGUAUGAGAAGUACUGGGGUGAUCCUGAAAAGAUGAACAAGUAUACAUUCAUUGCUGCCAUCCUUGAUCCAAGGACCAAGGAAUCUCAUUUCUUUAAGGACAUGAUUGAAGACACCUAUGGCAGUAUAAUAGGUAACAGAAUCUUGACACCUUCCCACAAUGAAUUUGUCUCUCUUUUUGGAGAAUACAGAGAAUUAUAUGGAACCAGUACUCCUAGGGAAUUAGCAUCACAAGCUCGUCCUAGUGCAAAUGCUUCUGAAAGUUCUCUAGUGAGGUCACGAUACAACCAGAAAAGAAUGAGAGUUUGUGGAGAGGACAGCACUAGCACAAAUACAAGAACUGAAUUAGACAAGUACCUAGCUGAGGACACAGAAGAGUUGACUGCUGAAUUUGACCUUCUUGAAUGGUGGAAGUGCAAUGCUCCUCACUUUCCCGUCCUUUCAAAAAUGGCUCGUGAUAUACUAGCAAUCCCCCUCUCUACGGUUGCUUCUGAAUCAGCUUUCAGCACUAGUGGUCGUAUUCUCGAUGACUCCAGAAGCUCUUUAACACCAGCGACACUGCAGUCGUUGAUAUGCCCACAAGAUUGGUUGCGUUCUAAGUGUAUCAAUGUUGAAGCUGAUGUUGCUGAGUUGACCAGGCUGGAGGAAGAAGUGGGUGCCAUUCAUUUAAAUGAUAAUGUGACAAUAUCGAUUGAUUGA
RNAcentral lists this ribosomal RNA (1062 nucleotides) under Triticum aestivum (bread wheat). RNAcentral's name for it is "partial small subunit ribosomal RNA". Lineage: Eukaryota; Viridiplantae; Streptophyta; Magnoliopsida; Poales; Poaceae. The record is from RNAcentral.